This 90-nucleotide transfer RNA is filed under the name Candidatus Berkelbacteria bacterium CG_4_10_14_0_2_um_filter_35_9_33_12. RNAcentral describes it as "tRNA-Ser". It matches the Rfam family "tRNA". From Rfam's summary of the family: Transfer RNA (tRNA) molecules are approximately 80 nucleotides in length. Their secondary structure includes four short double-helical elements and three loops (D, anti-codon, and T loops). Further hydrogen bonds mediate the characteristic L-shaped molecular structure. tRNAs have two regions of fundamental functional importance: the anti-codon, which is responsible for specific mRNA codon recognition, and the 3' end, to which the tRNAs corresponding amino acid is attached (by aminoacyl-tRNA synthetases). tRNAs cope with the degeneracy of the genetic code in two manners: having more than one tRNA (with a specific anti-codon) for a particular amino acid; and 'wobble' base-pairing, i.e. permitting non-standard base-pairing at the 3rd anti-codon position. Lineage: Bacteria; Candidatus Berkelbacteria. RNAcentral also lists the same sequence under 5 other names. The record is from RNAcentral.
GGUGGGGUGCCGGAGUGGAUGAACGGGACAGUCUCGAAAACUGUUGAACAUGCAAAUGUUUCGUGAGUUCGAAUCUCACUCCCACCGCCA